This 256-nucleotide ribosomal RNA is filed under the name uncultured bacterium. RNAcentral describes it as "partial 16S ribosomal RNA". It matches the Rfam family "Bacterial small subunit ribosomal RNA", at positions 524 to 776 of the family's 1533-position model. The record is from RNAcentral.
GACAGAGGGUGCAAACGUUGUUCGGAAUUACUGGGCGUAAAGCGCGUGUAGGCGGCUAUGCAAGUCGGAUGUGAAAGCCCCUCGGCUCAACCGGGGGAAGUGCACCCCGAAACUGCGUAGCUAGAGUCUCGGAGAGGAUCGUGGAAUUCUCGGUGUAGAGGUGAAAUUCGUAGAUAUCGAGAGGAACACCUGCGGCGAAGGCGGGUUGCUGGGCUGAUACUGACGCUGAGGCGCGAAAGCCAGGGGAGCGAACGGG